CGCAGCCGCGGUAAUUCCAGCUCCAAUAGCGUAUAUUAAAGUUGUUGCAGUUAAAAAGCUCGUAGUUGAACUUCAGGCCUGGCUGGACGGUCCGCCCUCUGGGUGAGCACUGUCUGUGGUCGGGUCCUACCUUCUGGCGAAGCGGCAUGGCCUUAACCGGCCGUGGCGGGGAACCAGGACUUUUACUGUGAAAAAAUUAGAGUGUUCAAAGCAGGCACGCGCUUGAAUACAUUAGCAUGGAAUAAUGGAAUAGGACAAUGGUUCUAUUUGUUGGUUUCUAGGACCGUUGUAAUGAUUAAUAGGGAUAGUUGGGGGCAUUAGUAUUCAAUUGUCAGAGGUGAAAUUCUUGGAUUUAUUGAAGACUAACUACUGCGAAAGCAUUUGCCAAGGACGUUUUCAUUAAUCAAGAACGAAAGUUAGGGGAUCGAAGACGAUCAGAUACCGUCGUAGUCUUAACCAUAAACUAUGCCGACUAGGGAAUCGGGGCGAUGUUAACAAGUUGACGCGCUCGGCGACCUCA
This 520-nucleotide ribosomal RNA is filed under the name uncultured Paraglomus. RNAcentral describes it as "SSU rRNA". It matches the Rfam family "Eukaryotic small subunit ribosomal RNA", at positions 569 to 1090 of the family's 1831-position model. The record is from RNAcentral. Lineage: Eukaryota; Fungi; Glomeromycota; Glomeromycetes; Paraglomerales; Paraglomeraceae.